CAGCGGGGGAGAAGCUUGCUUCUCCUGCCGGCGAGUGGCGAACGGGUGAGUAAUACAUCGGAACGUGCCCUGUAGUGGGGGAUAACUAGUCGAAAGAUUAGCUAAUACCGCAUACGACCUGAGGGUGAAAGUGGGGGACCGCAAGGCCUCAUGCUAUAGGAGCGGCCGAUGUCUGAUUAGCUAGUUGGUGGGGUAAAGGCCCACCAAGGCGACGAUCAGUAGCUGGUCUGAGAGGACGAUCAGCCACACUGGGACUGAGACACGGCCCAGACUCCUACGGGAGGCAGCAGUGGGGAAUUUUGGACAAUGGGCGAAAGCCUGAUCCAGCAAUGCCGCGUGUGUGAAGAAGGCCUUCGGGUUGUAAAGCACUUUUGUCCGGAAAGAAAUGGCUCUGGUUAAUACCUGGGGUCGAUGACGGUACCGGAAGAAUAAGGACCGGCUAACUACGUGCCAGCAGCCGCGGUAAUACGUAGGGUCCAAGCGUUAAUCGGAAUUACUGUGCGUAAAGCGUGCGCAGGCGGUUGUGCAAGACCGAUGUGAAAUCCCCGAGCUUAACUUGGGAAUUGCAUUGGUGACUGCACAGCUAGAGUGUGUCAGAGGGGGGGUACAAUUCCACGUGUAGCAGUGAAAUGCGUAGAGAUGUGGAAGAAAUACCGAUGGCGAUGGCAGCCCCCUGGGAUAACGCUGACGCUCAUGCACGA
RNAcentral lists this ribosomal RNA (701 nucleotides) under Ralstonia sp. BAN21. RNAcentral's name for it is "bacterial SSU rRNA". It matches the Rfam family "Bacterial small subunit ribosomal RNA", at positions 64 to 756 of the family's 1533-position model. The record is from RNAcentral. Lineage: Bacteria; Pseudomonadati; Pseudomonadota; Betaproteobacteria; Burkholderiales; Burkholderiaceae.